GUUAUCAAAUAUUUACUAUUAAAAUCAUUAAUUGUCAAAUAAAUAUUUUAUUCACUUUUGGUAAUUGUGUAGUUUUUAUUUAAGGAAAUGAAAAACUAUUAAUUGUAUAUUUUUAAUUAUUUUUUUUGUUAAGUUAAUUAGAAGUAUAUAAUAUAUGUUUAGUGAACCAACAUAUUUUCUAGAGAAUUUAAAAGAUAUUUUAGUGAUGACACGUACCAACCAUAGCUAAAAUGUUGUAAUGUUUUUCUUUUAGUACAUAGGGGAUGAUCAAAAAAGAAAGAAGGUGAAACCAAUGACUGAAUUUCGGAGAAAACCUAUCACAAUUUUUAUUCCUUCAUCUAUUGUGUGAUAAUGUUUUAUACUUUUUCUGUAUUUGAAAAACUGAUAUUUAAGGUUUCACCAAAAUUUUAAAUCUACUCUUUUGAUUAUUACUUUUUGGUUUCAGCAAUAAAGCUUCAACAUUUAUGAUUUAGUUUUUAAAUAAUUGUAAACUAGGCUCUGCAUAUAUUCUGUUUAACUUCCGAUUUUUGGCAAUUUAGUAAGUCCAGAAUUACUGUCAAAUUAGCGCUUAGUGUAGUUACAUAUUCUAUUUUUUAUUGGUUUAAUCUUUUUUUUUUCUGGUAACGGUAAUGGAUUUUCUCUUUAUAAUGCAGAUCUACGAAAAAGGAAAAAAAAUGCUAUUGUUCAUAGUAGGCCUAGUCCAUAGGUCCUCAUUUUUAUAAAACCCAACCCAUAUUCUGGGAUGUAAUCAUGUAACUGAAUUUGGUUAGAACUGACGAACCCUAGUUACUGAUGAUGUGAAAGGUGAACUAGUGGGUAAGUACUUAGGCUACAUAACUCUAGGUAUCUCAUAUAAUACCAAAAAUGUAUGGUUUGUGGCCCAUAAGCUCGUGUUGGUGCGGUUAUUAGGUUUUCUUGCCCAUAAAUGCGUGUUGGUACUUGUUAAUAGGCUACAGCUGAUUUGAACAAUCUUUGUAGUUAAGGUAUUUGAAUACAAAUAUAUAAAGAUAAGAGAGCAUUAUUAGUUAGGAUAAAGGUGAAUUGGACUUCCACUUUGGCUCCUCUUUCAGCCUGUCUUACUUCCCAUAUAUUUUUCCUUUACGAACAUUUUUAUCGUUCCCUAAUUACAUUUGAAUUACACUCUCCACUAAUAAAAGUAUCAUUUUGACAUUUUAUGUAAAGUAAGAAAACGAUUAAAAUGCGAUUAUGUCUUGUUAGUUACACACAUUUAAUCAAUAUUCAAUAGUAGUUGAAAUAAAUAAAAUAAUUUAUAUAAUUAAUGCAUUUUGUAUUUAAUUAUAAACUUAAAGUAAAUAUAAAUCACACUGAAAUUCCAAAAUAAUAUGUUUAUAACAAAAAGUGUCAAAAUAACACUCCUUGUAAAACAAAAAGGAGUAAUAUUUUAGUAUUCUUAUCAGUGAAAACAUGAGUUAUGUUUAAUACAAGUUUGGAUACAAUUCCUUAAUCAAGGUUUUUGAAACUUUCCGUUACUAGAAUAUCAUUUUUAGAUUUGCAAUUCAAAGUACUUUUAAAAGUAAAAUUCUGGUUUAUUUUAUAUUUAUUAUUCUCCAUCCUUCACAUAUAUCAUGCGAAUUUUAGUUAUACAUUCAUUGUUUGUCUUUUAAUAAUCGACUAGAGUUUGAUCUGCAUGCCUAUGCAGGUGUUUUUUUAUUUUUAAUAUUUACUAAUAUUUUUAAUGGAUAUUUUAAAAGUGUUAUUAUAAUAUUUGUUCUCUUUUUAUAGAAAGAGUGUCAUUUUAGAAUUUCAAUGCAAAAUAUAACUACUUUCAACUUAAUAUCAGUUGCAAACUCAAUAAAUCUUAUAAAUAAUUUGAUUUAUCUCAAAUAAUAUUUGUCAAAUACAAAAUAACUAAUAUGAACAUAAAUUUUCUUAAUCUGUGUUAAAAAUAUCAAUGUGACACUUUUUAAGACAAUUUUAAGAAAAGGAUUGAGUAAUUGUGCCCACAAUAUUAUUAAUUAGUUAGGGAAAUUGCCACAAAUAUCACUUUCAAUGUACCACUUUUCAUUAAUACCUUGACCAACUUUACCAUUAAAAUUUUAAUAGGCAAAAUACAAUUAUACCCCUAUCUAAUUAAAACUACAACUAUUAUGUUCUUCUCCACUAUCCGAUAAUCAAUCCGACGAGAUCCGGUGAUUCUGACGAGUUUUCCGGCGAGCUUUGACAACGAAGACGAGUUCUCUUGCGAAAUCUGACGAUGCUGAUUAGUUCUCUGGCGAAACACGAAUGAGACGAUCUCUCUCCUGAUGCUGAUGAGUUUCCGGUGAGAUCUGACGACGCUAACGAGUUUUCCGGCGAGAUCUGACGAUGCCGAGAAGUUCUCCGGCAAAGCUGACAGACUCAACAAGCUCAGACGAACGAGACGAUCUCUCCCCCAACGCCUAAGAAACACUAAAAAAGGUAAGAUGAUAGUAUAUGGUGAUUUUUGCCUCUUUCUGUAAUUUUAGCUUGAUUUAUCAAAAUCGAUAUGUUUCUAAGAAAGAAGACGAAGUUUUUCAAGUGAAGUUUUCAGAUCUCAAAUUUAUAAGAUCUUAUAAAUUGGGUCCUUUCAAAUCUUACUGUUGAUCUGUUAGCAAUCAAAAGACACAAAGCUUAACGUAAGAGUACAAUUAUUGAUUUGGUUGAUUUAUUGUCAUAGUUUUCAGAUUUAUAUAAUUAUUUAAUUCAUGAGAAGGUACUAACCUAAGAGUAUAAUUAUUCCAUUACUUCUUCUCUUGGUUGAUUUGGUGAUGUUGCAGAGAAUUACAAAUGUGUGUUGUCAGCUUUUGGAUUUAAAAGAUGUUGUGGAGAAUAUGUGUGGUGAUAUGCAUAUCUAAGUAUCUCACUUCCUUAAGAUUUUGAAAAUUUACGAGGUUGGUGAGCUGUUUGAAGAGGCAAGAGAGACUCUGAAGAAGAAUGUGGUUUGUGCUAUCAAAGAAUUACGUAUUUAUAACGCUUUAUAAAAGUUGCAGAGUUGGCUUCUUAGUAUAUUCUUCUCUCUCAUCUUCUUUAGACAUCUCUUAUACUAAAACAAUUGUAUCUCUCUUUUAGUAGUUGCAUAGUUGAAGAUAUUAGUUGGACAUGUAAGUGAGUUUGGUUUCAA
This is a long non-coding RNA of Brassica rapa (field mustard), 3100 nucleotides long. RefSeq lists it as uncharacterized. The record is from RefSeq and is a predicted model, not a curated record. Lineage: Eukaryota; Viridiplantae; Streptophyta; Magnoliopsida; Brassicales; Brassicaceae.